This 440-nucleotide ribosomal RNA is filed under the name uncultured bacterium. Its description in RNAcentral is "partial 16S ribosomal RNA". It matches the Rfam family "Bacterial small subunit ribosomal RNA", at positions 338 to 795 of the family's 1533-position model. The record is from RNAcentral.
CCUACGGGAGGCAGCAGUGGGGAAUAUUGCACAAUGGGGGAAACCCUGAUGCAGCGACGCCGCGUGAGCGAUGAAGUAUUUCGGUAUGUAAAGCCCUAUCAGCAGGGAAGAAAAUGACGGUACCUGACUAAGAAGCCCCGGCUAACUACGUGCCAGCAGCCGCGGUAAUACGUAGGGGGCAAGCGUUAUCCGGAUUUACUGGGUGUAAAGGGAGCGUAGGCGGGGGUGCAAGCCAGAUGUGAAAGCCUGGGGCUCAACCCCGGGACUGCAUUUGAAACUGUGCUGCUAGAGUGUCGGAGAGGCAGGCGGAAUUCCUGGUGUAGGAGUGAAAUGCGUAGAGAUUAGGAGGAACACCAGUGGCGAAGGCGGCCUGCUGGACGAUGACUGACGUUGAGGCUCGAAAGCGUGGGGAGCAAACAGGAUUAGAUACCCCUGUAGUC